GUAGGUGGCAAGCGUUGUCCGGAUUUACUGGGCGUAAAGGGCUUGUAGGCGGUUCGUUAAGUCCGGUGUGAAAUCUCCCGGCUCAACCGGGAUGGGUCAUCGGAUACUGGCGAGCUAGAGGUGGGCAGAGGAAGGCAGAAUUCCCGGUGUAUCGGUGAAAUGCGUAGAUAUCGGGAGGAAUACCAGUGGCGAAGGCGGCCUUCUGGGCCUAUCCUGACGCUGAGGAGCGAAAGCGUGGGGAGCAAACCGGAUUAGAUACCCGGGUAGUCCACGCCCUAAACGGUGGAUGCUAGGUGUGGGGGGUAUCGACCCCCUCCGUGCCGCAGCUAACGCUUUAAGCAUCCCGCCUGGGGAGUACGGCCGCAAGGCUA
Molecule: ribosomal RNA, 371 nt
Filed under: uncultured bacterium
Lineage: Bacteria
Description: bacterial SSU rRNA
Rfam family: Bacterial small subunit ribosomal RNA
Source: RNAcentral